Coccinella septempunctata (seven-spotted ladybird) is the source of this 475-nucleotide long non-coding RNA. RefSeq lists it as uncharacterized. The record is from RefSeq and is a predicted model, not a curated record. NCBI's taxonomy places the organism in Eukaryota, Metazoa, Arthropoda, Insecta, Coleoptera, Coccinellidae. The transcript is spliced from 3 exons.
UGGCAUUUGAGAGGAGAGGCUAUAAAACGCAUCCUUCCCCCUUACACCAUCAAUGCUAAAGGAGUUCGAUUAAAUAAAAAGUUUUGAUGAGCUCAUAAAAUUGAAUGAGAGUUCAAAUGAGGACUCCUUAUUCACUGAAACGCGCAAGAAAUUUCAAAGUGUUGAUGGCAAAGAUACCUCAGAUACUACGAGGAGAAUUUUGAAUAGGCUGAUGACGAAAAAAUUGGCAGUUAUUACCAAUUGGACGGCCAGGAAUAACAAAAAAUGGCUUUAAAGACAUGAAAAAUGUUAUCGAAUUAAUUCAUGUGUCUGUAAGAAAGAAUCCACUUCUCCAAUCACCAACUCUUGAUUAAGUGGAAAAUGUAAUGAAAAGUUGGCUGCGUUCGGCAAGUGACAGAGGAGGGGAGCGAGCCAGAAGAUAUACAAAAAAAUAAUGCAUUUCAACAAAUACUUUUAUGAAUUAUGUAUCUCUAUU